UACGAGUGCCCCCAAGCGUUAUCCGGAAUUAUUGGGCGUAAAGGGUGUGUAGGCGGCCGCGUUAGUCUUCUGUUAAAUCUCCCGGCUCAACCGGGAAAAGGCAGGGGAAACGGCGCGGCUCGAGGGUAUGAGAGGUGCAUGGAACUCAUAGUGUAGGGGUGAAAUCCGUUGAUAUUAUGGGGAACACCAAAUGCGAAGGCAGUGCACUGGCAUACAUCUGACGCUGAGACACGAAAGCGUGGGUCGCGAAUGGGAUUAGAAACCC
Molecule: ribosomal RNA, 265 nt
Filed under: uncultured bacterium
Lineage: Bacteria
Description: partial 16S ribosomal RNA
Rfam family: Bacterial small subunit ribosomal RNA
Source: RNAcentral